Molecule: long non-coding RNA, 185 nt
Organism: Chelonia mydas (Green sea turtle)
Lineage: Eukaryota; Metazoa; Chordata; Testudines; Cheloniidae
Exons: 2
Source: RefSeq, a predicted model, not a curated record
CGGGCCGUUCACCAGUCGGAGCGAAGUCUGCUCUGAAAUGUCUGAGUCUGCAAAUGCCCCAAAGGAAUAAACACUCAGCUUCCAGCCAUCGGAUCUUAUUAAUCACUGGCCUGUAAGAUUGAAGAGUCCUUUAUUAUCACAUUUCUGUUCCCCAUGAUGGUAAUUAUAGACUGUGAUCAAGCGGU